UGGCAGACGGGUGAGUAACAUGUGGGUAUCUACCCUUUGGCCUGGAAUAACACGAGGAAACUUGUGCUAAUACCGGAUAAGUCUUUACGGAGAAAGCUUUAUGCACCAUUGGAUGAGCCCGCACUUGAUUAGUUUGUCGGUAGGGUAAUGGCCUACCAAGACUAUGAUCAAUAGCUGAUUUGAGAGGAUGAUCAGCCACAUUGGGACUGAGACACGGCCCAAACUCCUACGGGAGGCAGCAGUGGGGAAUCUUGCACAAUGGAGGAAACUCUGGUGCAGCGAUGCCGCGUGAGUGAAGAAGGCCUUUGGGUUGUAAAGCUCUUUCGUCGGGGAAGAAAAUGACUGUACCCGAAUAAGAAGGUCCGGCUAACUUCGUGCCAGCAGCCGCGGUAAUACGAAGGGACCUAGCGUAGUUCGGAAUUACUGGGCUUAAAGAGUUCGUAGGUGGUUGAAAAAGUUGGUGGUGAAAUCCCAGAGCUUAACUCUGGAACUGCCAUCAAAACUUUUCAGCUAGAGUAUGAUAGAGGAAAGCA
RNAcentral lists this ribosomal RNA (533 nucleotides) under uncultured Pelagibacterales bacterium. RNAcentral's name for it is "bacterial SSU rRNA". It matches the Rfam family "Bacterial small subunit ribosomal RNA", at positions 96 to 663 of the family's 1533-position model. The record is from RNAcentral. Lineage: Bacteria; Pseudomonadati; Pseudomonadota; Alphaproteobacteria; Candidatus Pelagibacterales.